Molecule: non-coding RNA, 1133 nt
Organism: Myodes glareolus (Bank vole)
Lineage: Eukaryota; Metazoa; Chordata; Mammalia; Rodentia; Cricetidae
Source: RefSeq, a predicted model, not a curated record
GGGGGCGGGGCGGUGGGCGGGGCCCCACGGUCACCUACUUGGCCUCCAGAGCCAGAGCGAUCAUGCCAGCGGCCAGCGGGGCGGAGGCCGAGGUGCCCGUGUGUUUGUCGGUACACUGGUGGUGCAGGUCCGUGGUGACCUGGUGACAGACAACAGAGGGAUCUUGAGCCCAGUGCGCGGCCCAGAUGGAGGAUUUGUUUGGAAGGUACUGGGGACUAAGUUCACAAAGUGCUGAAGAUUGAGCUAAGUAUGAAGACACCGAGGACUAAGCUCAAAAGGUACUAAAAGCCCCAGCCAGGCCUGGUGAUGCAGGUGCUCAAACCCAGCACUUGUGGAGCUGUGGCAGGCGUAGCUGGGACUUCCAGGCUAGCCUGGUUUAUGUAUGGUGAAUACGAAUGACUAAGUUUAACAAGUACUGAGGACUGAGCUCAACAAUUACUAAGGGCCGAGGUUUAAAACUGCUAAGGACUAGUUUCCAAAACCACCGAGCAUUGAGUUCAUAAUGAUACACGGCCCUACAUCUCCAAAAAAUACCAAAACCAGACCGGCUGUGGUGGCUCACUCCUUUAAUCCUAGCCCUUGGGAGGCAAAAGCAGGCAGAUCUCUGAGUUCAGGACCAGCCUGGUCUACAGAGCGAGUUCCAAGACCGCCAGGGCUAUACACAGAGAAACACCAGUGUUUGACUCGAAAACACCAAGAAAAGAAAAAGUGCCGAAUUCUGAGACUUAGUCUCAGCAAGUGCCCGAACCCUGGUACUUGGCCCUGGUUCUUCAAUCUGGGGGACAGAAAUGCUGAGGCAGGAACCACAAUUGCAGACACCAGCCCAUGUGGACGCCAGAGAACUAUGGGGGCUGGAAGAUGGCUCAGCAAUGAAGAGCACUGGCCACUCUUGCGGAGGACCGGGGUUCAAUCUCCAAUGUCUACAUGGAGGACCGGGGUUCAAUCUCCAAUGUCUACAUGGUGGCUCACAAGCACCCGGGACAGGUUCCAAGUAGAUCUUGUGCCCUCUUCUGACCUCCUCAGCACCUGCAUCUGUCCGUGGUACACAGACAAGCAGGAGAAACACUAAUACACAUUAGUCAAAAGAAAUACACAUUUAAAACAUGUAAAUCUUAUAAAACCAUGGGAGCCAG